This 85-nucleotide transfer RNA is filed under the name Felis catus (domestic cat). It matches the Rfam family "tRNA". From Rfam's summary of the family: Transfer RNA (tRNA) molecules are approximately 80 nucleotides in length. Their secondary structure includes four short double-helical elements and three loops (D, anti-codon, and T loops). Lineage: Eukaryota; Metazoa; Chordata; Mammalia; Carnivora; Felidae. RNAcentral also lists the same sequence under 2 other names. The record is from Rfam by way of RNAcentral.
GCCUGGGUGGCUCAGUAGGUUAAGCAUCUGACUUUGGCUCAGGUCAUGAUCUCAUGGUUUGUGAGUUUGGGCCCCACCUUGGGUG